AGUGAACGCUGGCGGCGUGCUUAACACAUGCAAGUCGAACGAGAACGGAAUAUAGCUUGCUAUAUUUGUCAGCUAAGUGGCGCACGGGUGAGUAAUGUAUAGAUAACCUGCCCUUAAGAAAGGAAUAACAGUUGGAAACGACUGCUAAUGCCCUAUAUGCCUUUAAUACAUAAGUAUGCAAGGGAAACGCUUUAGUGCUUAAGGAUGGGUCUGUAUGGUAUCAGCUUGUUGGUGAGGUAAUGGCUCACCAAGGCUAUGACGCCUAACUGGUUUGAGAGGAUGAUCAGUCACACUGGAACUGAGACACGGUCCAGACUCCUACGGGAGGCAGCAGUGGGGAAUAUUGCACAAUGGACGAAAGUCUGAUGCAGCAACGCCGCGUGGAGGAUGACACAUUUCGGUGCGUAAACUCCUUUUGCCAAGUCACUACGGCUUGGCGAAUAAGCACCUGCUAACCACGUGCCAGCAGCCGCCGUAA
RNAcentral lists this ribosomal RNA (478 nucleotides) under uncultured bacterium. RNAcentral's name for it is "partial 16S ribosomal RNA". It matches the Rfam family "Bacterial small subunit ribosomal RNA", at positions 29 to 523 of the family's 1533-position model. The record is from RNAcentral.